GUUAGUGGUCAAUAGUUUCUAGCCUGACCUGAUUUCAGAAUUUAAGCUAGACUGAACCUGGUCAGUAUUAGAAUGGGAGACCUCUUAGGAAAACCAGUUUACUGCUGUAA
Molecule: ribosomal RNA, 110 nt
Filed under: Lepisosteus oculatus (spotted gar)
Lineage: Eukaryota; Metazoa; Chordata; Actinopteri; Semionotiformes; Lepisosteidae
Source: RNAcentral